CGCGUAGGCGGCCCCGUGUGUCGCGUGUGAAAUCCCCCGGGCUCAACCCGGGAAGUGCGCGCGAAACUGCGGGGCUCGAGCGGAGGAGGGGAGAGCGGAAUUCAUGGUGUAGCGGUGAAAUGCGUUGAUAUCAUGAGGAACACCGGUGGCGAAGGCGGCUCUCUGGAAUCCUGCUGACGCUGAGGCGCGAAAGCCGGGGGGAGCAAACA
Molecule: ribosomal RNA, 209 nt
Filed under: uncultured bacterium
Lineage: Bacteria
Description: partial 16S ribosomal RNA
Rfam family: Bacterial small subunit ribosomal RNA
Source: RNAcentral